UGGACACUAGUUGGGUUCGUUACUGAUGAGCCAUGACGGGGGAGGGGGGACCCCCGAUUGUGAGCGUCUGCCUUGGCCGUGGAGGUCAGUGGAUGGGACAGAGCAGAGGCUUGGGGGUGCAGGGGUGUGUCCAGCCCCUGGGGCCUGGCCCGCCUUGGUGGGGAGGGCGCAGAAUGGAGCCUCGGGCCGGUCUUGUUGAGCAGACAUCCUGUCCCAUCAGCCAGCAGCUGUCGCCUCCUGAGGCAGUCUGGCCACCUGGCCAGCCUGGGGGACCACCGUCCUGACCUUGCCCGCAGGCCUCCCAGAUGAGCGGAGCCCUGGGUAUAAACAGAACCGGGGUUUCCUGUGGACUCCCCGCCUGUUAGGCAGCCUCGUCGUGGCUGCCGACACACUCAGGUUCCCAAAAGACGACAAAGGUCUAAUCUAGUAAGAAUGUCAGGAGAACAGCGUGCGAGGGAGUCCGAGCUCUUUCUGCGUGUUUCAUGAUUCCUCUGUCUUCAAUACGAAUACAAAGCAUCGAAGAACGAGGCCGCUGCCUGAGACCCUCCUGCCGUAGGGGACGUUUCCCCUCUGACGCGUUGCCUCUUCGGCCAGCGCUGUGCCAGUUCUCCGAAAACUUUAAAAGAUGCUCGUGACGCAGUGCGGCCGCCGCACUCUCGGAGCUGAAACCCGCCUCCCAAAAGACGUGUGCACAGGCGUGUGUAACCCGCUGGGAGCCAUCAGUGACGGUUCACUUUACGUGUCCACAUGCCCGCGCCACGUGUGACGUGCCCGAUCUCUGGGCAGACGUGAUUCUGGGGUGUCUGGGAGGGGGUUUCUGGGUGAGGGUGACAGUGAGUCUGGACACCUCGUGGGCCCGCCCCAUCCAGGGCACCUGACCCUCCAGGAGUGAGAGCGAACCCUCCCGCCUGAUGUCCUCUGCCUGGGGACAUGGCUUGUCCUGCCUUCCGUCUCGACGGGCACCUCAGCUCCUCUUGGGCUCGAAUCCAGCGGCUCUCGGGCUGCACCGCCCAGCCCGGCUCCCGGGGCCUCCGGCCUCUUGCGUCCGCGAGCCCCGCCUCUGCUCCAUUGCAUCCCCCCCCCGCUCCCCCCCCCCGGAAAGGUCACUACCAGGGGAAAGACGCUGGACUUCGCGACAGUAACAGGGAAUAAGCGGCUGAAGUGGCGACAGCAGACGUGCUUCACGAAGGUGCGGUGUGGGGCGGAGAAGACGCGGAAGCGUUCACGGAGCGUCCGUCUGCGUGACGUUCUAGAAGAGCCCCAGCUGGGGUGUCAGAAGCAUGCAGCAGCUUGAUGUGGGGUCUCAGUUCCCAGACCAGGGAUUGAACCUGUGCCUCAGCAGCGAAAGGGCUGAGUCCUAUCCCCUGGGAUGCCAGGGGAUGCCCAGAAAGAAUACCGUCAGAGUGAAAGACGACAAGAGGAAAGGCGGUGGCAGCUGUGACAGACAAAGCAAGAAAGGCAGGGAGGCUUUUGGGAAGAGAGAUGCGCUGAUUCUUACCUAAGUGCAUUCAAUGCAUCGAGCUGGGGACCUGGGCCUUGUGUCCUCUUUCUUACUUGUAUGCUUUCUGGGCCCCGCCCCGCCCAGGACAUGUGGAAGCCCAUGUCUCGCCCAGGACAAAGUCCCCCCACAGGAGGCAUCACCUCUCCUGUGCCCCAGCCUGGGGAGGAGAAUACCGGCACGUGGACCCUGCUGGGAAGGGCUGCAAGGACGCCCACGGCCAGCGAGCACUCUCCUGCCUGGUCUGUGUCUGCAGCAGGCACGGCGCCGCCUGACUCCACUGCACAGCUAGUCUGAGAGCAGGACCAGAUUGUCAGGGGGUCACUCCUUACGACAUAGACAAAGCCUGCUGUGCAGUCUGGGCCCAGCCAAGGCGUCAGGAACCUGAGCACUUCAUGCAAAGGUCACUCAGGUGGGCUGUGUGCUGUUUUGCGGGACAAGGGCUGAUGAGCUGCUGUGGAGGCAGGAGGUGACGUGGGACAAGGAUCUGGCUCAGCAUCACUGUCCACUGGCUCAGAAACAAAAGUGACUGAGACACGACCACCACCCACUGCGUGUGCAGGACAGAAGGCCCUGCCAUCUUCCGGUCGCACCCGUGCACAGAAGCAGCCAGUGCAGGAACUGGGUGGAUGCUGGAAACCGGCGCCCGCAUUCACUCUUGAAGGAAAACCCACUGUCAUUCACGCUUCAGAAAGCAAACAGGCUGCCCGCAAAGAACGGUUAGGAAACUGGAAGAGUUUUAUUUUGUACUGUUUAAAAAAAAAUGCAGGUUGUCGAUUCCUCUGUAGAAACAGGUUCUCUGGCAACAGUAGUUAACUCUUAACCUCCCAUUAAAAGCUUCACAACUUCAAGUAUUUGAAAUGCACUUAAAAAUUUCCCUUGCGUUUAAGUUUUAAUUUCCCUACUUUUAUUUUAUGUAGUAUGUUCUCUUAGCAAUUAGCCGACUCAUAAAGUCAAAGAAUUUCUUUGAAAAUAAAGGUCAAAUCUUGACUAGGAUGUAAUGAGACAAAUUUGCAUUCUCGGUAUCUGUUUUAGUAAGACUAGUUUCUUUCAUUUUUCCCAAAAGAUAGAAAGUGGGGGGAAAUAGGCAUACCUGUACAAUUCAGAUCAAAGCACAAAGCAUCAUUUAAAAAAUAAAUACCUACGGCAUACCUGCCAUGCUUGAA
This is a long non-coding RNA of Phacochoerus africanus (Common warthog), 2664 nucleotides long. RefSeq lists it as uncharacterized. The transcript has 2 exons. NCBI's taxonomy places the organism in Eukaryota, Metazoa, Chordata, Mammalia, Artiodactyla, Suidae. The record is from RefSeq and is a predicted model, not a curated record.